GACGGACUUGCUGGGACCUCCCUCUCCAGAGCCUGGGGUGGCACUGCACCUCCGCAUUCCAAACUGGGGGUUGAAAAGCAGAUGGAACCAAGGCUAGGCCGGAGCUGGAGACAAGACAAUGAGUGGAUCUUGAGAACAGAGCCUGUGGCUUCCCAGACUCUAAGCCUUUUAAGGCCCCUGGACCUUUGAGCUGAGCUGGAGGCAGAAGUGAGGAAAGGGGGAAAGGCGAGAUCUACUGGCUUCAGGUUCAAGUAGGGCGGCGGACCCAGCCCCGUGACUUCAAAUAGCUGAAUGUAUUAGUUCAAACUCAUCUUAACAAAAUGUAAUUGUAGCUAGUUAGAAAUUGUAAUAUUUUAUAGUUCUGGUUCAGGUAUUGGGGAUUCCCAAGGAAGCCCCGACACCUGAUCAGGUACACGAUGCAGAAUGAAGUCAAAGAUAACCAGUAAGUGAAACGAGGCCCGGAGGUCAGAGAUUGUACUGAGCAGAGACCCUGAAGCCCAGACUUGCCGAUAUUUCCUGAGCACCAAGCAGCAUCGGGGAGUGUAUAGUCAGAUAUGUGGUGUGACAAAUAAAGACGAACAAGGCCUAGCAAGAACGGAACAAAGCAUUCUUGCAAGAAGUGGGUCUCAGAAGGAUGCAUGUGAUUGCAUUUGAGUCCUCGCUGAGCAUCCAGGACAGUGGUGGUGAACCGGUGACACCCACGGCACAGCAGGCUGUUUGUAUCAUUGAGAGCUCUGAUUGGAGCAUCGCUGAUCUCGGACAAUACGUCCUCAUCUCCAGAUUGCUAAUUGAGGCAUUUGGGAGAACAAGGCAGGAGCUGGCCACAAGUUUGAGGAGAGUCUGGUGGGGCUGGCCUGUCUGUAACACAGUCCCAGCCCUUGUUGAUCUCCCACUUUGACAAGUCCAGGUCGACCCUGGGGAGACUUGGCCCCUCCCGAAGCCAGAGGCAGUGUGACAGAGAAGCCAGCUUUACAAAAGUCAAGUGGUCACUCAAGGUCCUGAGGUCAGUGGAGAAGACCUGGGCAUCCAGCUCAGGCCUACGGGGUGAAUAAGUGGCAAAUGGACACAGUGUUCUGCAGCGUGCUGGCACGUGGCCAGCGCCACCAGCUGUCAUUAGAAUAUAGCAAUAUUGUGCCUGCAGAUCUAACACCAGCCGGGUGAGCGCCCUUAGCCCUGGGGUACCCACUGUCCUCUAGGGAGGCUGCCCUGGCAAAUGAGCUGUUACUGUUUAGAUAGGUGUGAAACCUCAUGUGAUCACAGGUGGGACUUUUGGAAGGCAAUCAGAUUAUGGGGGAUCAUAACUGACUUUCUGUUGGGAGGGAAGGCCUAGGUCAUGGUGUGUGUGUGUGGGGUGAUCCGGAAGGGUUUAUCUGCUCCAGCUCUCUCUGCUUUCCACUGCCCUGCCCCCCUGCCAGGCUGCCCUGCCUUGGAGCCCGAACUGUGGACUGAAAUGUUUGUCAGCUGUGAGCCCAAAUAACCCUUUCCUUCUUUAAGUGGCAGGUGUCAGGUAUUUUGUCUUAGCAAUGAAGAAAGUCACUAAGACGGGAGCAGAGCCCAGGGGCACCUCCUCUUUGCCCGAAGGGAGGCCAGGAAGGGACAGCAGGAGUGGCCAUGCUGCCACACAAUGGGCCAUGAGCACAGCGGGAAGAGAGGACGCUGCCAGGCCAGCCCGUGGCUGGCGGGACCCGGUGGACCUGGGUCUUCAGUAGCCCGUAAACCAAACAAAUGCAUAUUUGAUGGAAUAAAGUUCCAGAGGAUGAGGCGCUUGUGGGCCUGAUGGUGAAAUGCAGCGGCCGUCUGACCCCACGGAGGGAUAAAUCUGCUGGGCUUUCCAGCCGGAGACAUGGAAACUGCUUUGCCGUCUGAGCCUCUCCGAGUGUGGAGAGGGUAUCUUCUGUCAGGUGGAGCACUGGAUCCUACCGUCUCCUGGCCACAUCUCCCCUCCGCCCCGGCACAGCUGCGUGGCUGGAAUGACAGAGGUCGGCACUGAGUGGGAGGGG
This is a long non-coding RNA of Fukomys damarensis (Damara mole-rat), 2000 nucleotides long. Lineage: Eukaryota; Metazoa; Chordata; Mammalia; Rodentia; Bathyergidae. The record is from Ensembl.